This 3845-nucleotide long non-coding RNA is filed under the name Homo sapiens (human). RNAcentral's name for it is "HSALNT0143495". Lineage: Eukaryota; Metazoa; Chordata; Mammalia; Primates; Hominidae. The record is from RNAcentral.
GUAGUUCAUUUAUGAGGUGAUUCUAAGGAACAAGAGUGAAGCACCGCUGAGUAACAGGAAAAAGAAACAUGAAUGUAGAAAUAUGCUGUGUGUUGGGCCAUUCCUGGGAGUAACUGUGGCUCAGUGUCCCCCUCUUUUGAGACAUGUCUCGGAACCAUCACCCUUGGGGAAAUGAAGAGCGGAUGCAUUUAUCCAACAGAUCCAGUCCCCCUUUGGUUAGGGUGCCUCCGCCAGCAUUAACCUCUCAGUCCAUCCUUUAAAGCUGAGCAACAUUCUGAAGUCAGCCAGAGAAGCCCCAUGGCAGAAAGAAUUACUUGCACAAAUACCGUGGAGAUUGGCAUGGAAAUGUCUGCACAGACUGCAGGGCUAGGAGGAUGGGCAAUUGUGUAAAGAGGUUCUCAAUGUGCAACAUGCCCACUCACUCCCAGCCACAGGAGAGAUGAGAAACUUGGAGCUCAGAGACAUCCGUUAACUUAAAGUGGCUGAAGGGGGACUCCAAUCAGGGCAACCCACCUUAGAGUCCUCUGCUGUCCACCACUGAGCUGGGAAAUGAAGACUCUGCACAUAGCAUUUCAUCUGGCUGAUCCUUGGAGUCCCAGUCUGUAAGUUUGUGUCAACAUCCUCUGCCUCUUCUGUAGGAUGACCAAAUGAAAAAUCGAUGAAAAUUCAUUCAUACGCAGGGGUUUAAUUUUUUUUAUUUUCAUGAGGCAAAAACAAACAACAACAACAACAAUAAACCAACCCGACAAUAUAAUAGCCUGGUCCCAGGCAUCAGAGGAUGGGACUAAUAGGUUUCAAAGCCACAUUCAUGACUUGGGAGAUUCUGCUUGAACAGACAAGCUGCCCCAGGCAUCCUGGAGAUGAAGUAAGUACGAUUCUUCUUGAAUUUGGGGGACAGCUCUUCUCUGGAGUUCAAAAAAAAAAAAAUCCAAGUUUCACUGGGGGCAGAAGGACAGUUGCUGGGUGUGCCUCUAGUUGUUCUAGAGAAAUGAACGCUUAGAACUACAGUUCCUCUCACAAGAGGUGAGACGGCUUUGCAAUUGAAAGAGAGCAACCAACCUGGAGCAAUUAUGUUUUCAUUAUUAUUCCCAAGCUUCUCUGUCACAAAUCACAUUUUCCAACCCGGGGCACGUUGGUGCAGAGCUGCCGAUUGCAGUUCCCAUCAUUCCACCAGCUGACUGCUCCAGCCUGGCCCUGGAAGCGGCAAGCCGGUGGCUCAUUAACUGCAAUACCUGUGCACAGAUUGCAAACCCGGCAGAGCAGAUGCUGCAUACUUCAGGAAAUUCUCCCCUAUUUGAAAAUGACUACGAAGUACUUUUUACUAUCAAACCCUUGUUGGGAUUUUUCUAGAAAGAAGACCGUGAAGCCCUUGUAGAUUUUCCUGUCGACUUGCAUUACAGAGCAGCUGAGAGUGCUAAGUCUGGGCAUGGCCUUGACUUGCAGGCACAAACACAAACACACCCCGGCGCCCCUGGCUUUAAAACUGGGGAUUUAAAGCGCUAGACUUGAGAGCGCAGAAGUACGGCAAUGCUCAUGCCGCCAUCAUGUGGCUAGAGGAGGAACCGCACCAGGAACAGAAUGGACCAAUUCGGCCAGGCUGCCUGCACCCCCUCCUUCCUACUUUCCUCCCUCCCUUCCUUUGAAACAGCUGCUGAAGAAGACUAGUCAAUUAAAAAAAAAAGAAAGAAAGAAAGAAAAGAAAGGUGGAAGAGAAAUAAUUGAGUUAGGUACCACUGUUUGCACACCCCGUUCCUGGGGCUUUAUAAAAGCCCUGCGUGAAGCAGGGCAGAAUAUAUGACUGAAGUGAACUCCACUCGACCUUCAAAUCCAACCCCUCCGAAGAGAAUAUUCCAAGAAUCAAGCAAAACCUGGGAGGUCAAGGAUGUUUCAUCUGCGUUUCCCCAUUCUCUUAGAUUGUCUCUUCUUUCCUCAAGUCUCAUAGAAUCUGAGAGUUAGAAGGUUCUCAAAGGUCAUCUCAAGCACAAUGCUUUGUGAAAUUUGAAGUCCAGCUACAAUAUGCCCAAUAAGCAUUUAUCCAGACUCAAGAGUCCCCAUUGCUGGAGAAUUGGAAUUUAAUAAUACCAAACAUAGCCCAAUCCAUUUUGGAACAAAUCUACUUGUGAGGAAGUUAUUUUAUUGUUGUUUGUUUUACAGCAUGCUGUAGGUGGUCUCUUUGAAUUCCAUCUAAAUACAACUUUUUGUAGUACAGUACUGCAAAUCAUCUAUUCUAAAGAUGCAUAUGUGUUUACACUGUAUCUGUGAACAUUCAUAACAAUUGAAGACACUUCUGAUUGUGCUUGGCUGGGCAGCAGACACGACGUUGUUGCUUAUGCAUGUGUGAGACAGGCUGUUUCAGGUAGUGUGAUAAAAAUUCUCUCAAUAUUUCAGUCAAACUAUUUAAGAGUCUUUGGAAUAAGGAAUAUAAGCCUUCUAUGUCUUAAAAAAAAUUUAUGGAGAUUUUUUGAAAAUCAUGAAAGCACCAGAUUCAAAACAUUCAGAAGGCAUCUUGGAAGAAAAAAAAAAUCUCAGGAGACAAUAGUGGAGGACUCUAAACAAAGUUGUAUUACAGUAUUCUUAAGAGUAAAAUCAAUGGGACGAUAGAGCAAAACUGCUCAACUAAUAUACCUAAUUCAUAGAAUGUAAUAGCUAUUUAGGAAAUGAAACAUUUAUUGUUGAUUUAUGAUGUGCUACUAACUCUGCUAAGCCCUUUCCAUAUUUUAUUCUACUUGAUCCACCCCAAGACCUAAUGAGGUAGUUAGCACAGGGCCACUAUCCCUUAUCCAAAACUUUUAGGCCAAAUUUUGAAAUUCAUAACUAUUUUUAUUAUUUAAGAAUAUAUAGUAUAUGUAUUGUAUCUUGUUUAACCCCACCAGCAGGGUCUGGGAUAGCAUGCUGUAAUCAAACACAUUAAUAUUUUGCAACAAAAUAUGUGCAUAUUCACAGACUGUGGGAUAAAGAAAUAUCAUAGUAAGUCUCCAGUCUCCCGUCUCAUGCCAGUUUAGGUCAAAGAUGAGUUUGUGAUGGGCUUAUGAAAAUGUUUUCUGUUCUCAGGUAUUUGGGGAUUUUAGAUAUGCAAAUUAGUGGUUUGGAAUUUGUAUUAGUGUCUCCAUUUUGCUAAUAAACAAAGUGAGGCUUUGUAAGUAGUUCCCCCUGACGCACACAGCUCAGAGUGUGGAGUUGGGUCUGAGACAAUCAAGGUCUUAACAACGAUGCUUGGCUGCCUCAGUGAAGCAUCCAUCUGCCAGGAGGUUGGGGGUCACUGCCAUGGGCCCUGAGUCUUCUCUUCUUUAGACUGAUCACUUGCCCAUAACUAUCUCUAGACUUCUUGCCACAAUGGCUCUCCUUUGAACACCCCAUGGUUUCUCACUUCUUAAACCACUGUAAGUAUGAAGUCUCCAUGAGGGGAGACUUAACUAACUGCUAAUAGAAGAACAGAAAGAACAGAAAGGUGUGUGGAGUUCCACGCUCCAACAGCAUCUACCACUUGCUCAAUGAAGUUUUUCAAAAAUAAAAAUAUUUUCUAAGCAGAUGAUGUGGCUCUUUUAUCGUGCUCAUCAUUUUAGAGAGAAAAAGAUCAAAGAUAGAGCCACCAUAGGUUCCAAACCCAAGGUUUGGGAAACUCCAUUCCAGUUCUAUUAAAAUUGCAGCUUUUUCAUAUAAAUUUCCCUGGAGAAGAAAUAUCAUAGGAGUUUUAAUAAUAAUAAAGUACAGGUUCUGUAGCCAACUCAUCUGGUUUGAAUCUCGUUCUGACACUUCCUAGCUGUGUAAUCUUAAGCAAAUUACUUAACCUCUCUGUGCCUCUGUUUUUCUAACAAAUGGGGGCAAUGAUAUGACCUACCUUUGAG